RNAcentral lists this ribosomal RNA (253 nucleotides) under uncultured bacterium. RNAcentral's name for it is "partial 16S ribosomal RNA". It matches the Rfam family "Bacterial small subunit ribosomal RNA", at positions 524 to 776 of the family's 1533-position model. The record is from RNAcentral.
UACAGAGGGUGCGAGCGUUAAUCGGAAUUACUGGGCGUAAAGCGCGCGUAGGCGGCUUUGCAAGUCGGGUGUGAAAUCCCCAGGCUUAACCUGGGAACUGCAUUCGAGACUGCAUUGCUAGAGUAUGGGAGAGGGAAGUGGAAUUUCCGGUGUAGCGGUGAAAUGCGUAGAUAUCGGGAGGAACACCGGUGGCGAAGGCGGUUCUCUGGGCCUGUACUGACGCUGAGGAGCGAAAGCGUGGGGAGCGAACAGG